Molecule: ribosomal RNA, 450 nt
Filed under: uncultured bacterium
Lineage: Bacteria
Description: partial 16S ribosomal RNA
Rfam family: Bacterial small subunit ribosomal RNA
Source: RNAcentral
GUGGGGAAUAUUGGACAAUGGGCGAAAGCCUGAUCCAGCCAUGCCGCGUGUGUGAAGAAGGUCUUCGGAUUGUAAAGCACUUUAAGUUGGGAGGAAGGGCAGUAAGUUAAUACCUUGCUGUUUUGACGUUACCGACAGAAUAAGCACCGGCUAACUUCGAGCCAGCAGCCGCGGUAAUACGAAGGGUGCAAGCGUUAAUCGGAAUUACUGGGCGUAAAGCGCGCGUAGGUGGUGUUGUAAGUUGGAGGUGAAAUCCCCGGGCUCAACCUGGGAACUGCCUCCAAAACUGCAUGACUAGAGUACGGUAGAGGGUAGUGGAAUUUCCUGUGUAGCGGUGAAAUGCGUAGAUAUAGGAAGGAACACCAGUGGCGAAGGCGACUACCUGGACUGAUACUGACACUGAGGUGCGAAAGCGUGGGGAGCAAACAGGAUUAGAAACCCUGGUAGUCC